GCACUACUGAAGAGUACCAUACUAGGACGAAACGGCCGUCCAGUGC
Non-coding RNA from Schistosoma margrebowiei, 46 nucleotides. Lineage: Eukaryota; Metazoa; Platyhelminthes; Trematoda; Strigeidida; Schistosomatidae. The record is from Rfam.